UACGUAGGGGGCUAGCGUUGUCCGGAUUUAUUGGGCGUAAAGAGCGUGUAGGCGGCCAUACAGGUCCGUUGUGAAAACUCGAGGCUUAACCUCGAGACGUCGAUGGAAACCGUAUGGCUAGAGUCCGGGAGAGGAGAGUGGAAUUCCUGGUGUAGCGGUGAAAUGCGCAGAUAUCAGGAAGAACACCCGUGGCGAAAGCGGCUCUCUGGAACGGUACUGACGCUGAGACGCGAAAGCGUGGGGAGCGAACAGG
RNAcentral lists this ribosomal RNA (253 nucleotides) under uncultured bacterium. RNAcentral describes it as "partial 16S ribosomal RNA". It matches the Rfam family "Bacterial small subunit ribosomal RNA", at positions 524 to 776 of the family's 1533-position model. The record is from RNAcentral.